RNAcentral lists this ribosomal RNA (414 nucleotides) under uncultured bacterium. RNAcentral's name for it is "bacterial SSU rRNA". It matches the Rfam family "Bacterial small subunit ribosomal RNA", at positions 355 to 761 of the family's 1533-position model. The record is from RNAcentral.
UGGGGAAUUUUGGACAAUGGGCGCAAGCCUGAUCCAGCCAUGCCGCGUGCGGGAAGAAGGCCUUCGGGUUGUAAACCGCUUUUGUCAGGGAAGAAACGCUCUGGGCUAAUACCCUGGGGUAAUGACGGUACCUGAAGAAUAAGCACCGGCUAACUACGUGCCAGCAGCCGCGGUAAUACGUAGGGUGCAAGCGUUAAUCGGAAUUACUGGGCGUAAAGCGUGCGCAGGCGGUUAUGCAAGACAGAUGUGAAAUCCCCGGGCUCAACCUGGGAACUGCAUUUGUGACUGUAUAGCUAGAGUGCAGAAGGGGCAAUCGGAAUUCUUGGUGUAGCGGUGAAAUGCGUAGAUAUCAAGAGGAACACCUGAGGUGAAGACGGGUUGCUGGGCUGACACUGACGCUGAGGCGCGAAAGCC